AAUAUUUCUCGACGACGUGCACGUAAGAUUUUGAAAGUCGACAAAAAGACGAAAUAGCAGUAUUUUACUAUUUAUCGUCAAAAAGUCAAAAAUUUCAAAAACGUCUUAACGGACUCAGAUUUCACUUCCGAGUUCAUCGUUCUCAUUCAAAUAAUUAUCUCGAAUUAUUCAAAUACUCAAACUCAAAUACGGAUAUAAAAUCCCACAUCAUUCUCACAUCAUCGAAAGAACAUCUCAACAUCUUUAAAAAAAACAAAAAAAAAAACAAGAGAACUUCAUAUAACUCCUCAUCUCUGUAAAAGUAAUCAAACAAGGGAUCUAUACCUUAAUUACUCAAACUUAAGCAAUUAAACACGUCAUCAAAAUCCCGGGUAUUACACGACGACCCCCAGGCCGCCGUCCACCCCCCUCUCUCUCUCUGGAUCGACGGGCAGCAGGAGCAUCAGGCCACCGCCGCCGUCGCCAAUCCCCUCUGCCUCAUCCGUUUUCCCCAGUCGGACCACCCCCAAGACUCACGCACACACACAUCAGCCCCAAGUUUGUGUUUUGUUGAAAUCGAAA
This 561-nucleotide long non-coding RNA is filed under the name Salvia miltiorrhiza (redroot sage). Its description in RNAcentral is "long non-coding RNA (SMIL_LNC012796)". The record is from RNAcentral. Lineage: Eukaryota; Viridiplantae; Streptophyta; Magnoliopsida; Lamiales; Lamiaceae.